GCUGGGUGUGGUGGUGCACACCUGUCAUCCCAGCGGCUUGGGAGGCUAAGACAGGAGGAUUGUGAGUUCAAAGCCAGUCUCAGUAAAGAUGGGGUGCUAAGCAACUUAGUGAGACCCUAUCUCUA
This 125-nucleotide small RNA is filed under the name Marmota monax (woodchuck). Lineage: Eukaryota; Metazoa; Chordata; Mammalia; Rodentia; Sciuridae. The record is from RNAcentral.